AUUCAUAUAAUAUAAUAAUUAUAUUUAACUUCCAAUUAAAAAAUCUAAUAAAAUUUAGUAUGAAUA
Molecule: transfer RNA, 66 nt
Filed under: Oryzaephilus surinamensis (saw-toothed grain beetle)
Lineage: Eukaryota; Metazoa; Arthropoda; Insecta; Coleoptera; Silvanidae
Description: tRNA-Gly
Source: RNAcentral